This 207-nucleotide ribosomal RNA is filed under the name uncultured bacterium. Its description in RNAcentral is "partial 16S ribosomal RNA". It matches the Rfam family "Bacterial small subunit ribosomal RNA", at positions 568 to 774 of the family's 1533-position model. The record is from RNAcentral.
UGCGUAGGUGGUGAUGCAAGUCUGGUGUGAAAUCUCGGAGCUUAACUCCGAAAUUGCACCGGAUACUGCGUUGCUCGAGGACUGUAGAGGAGAUCGGAAUUCACGGUGUAGCAGUGAAAUGCGUAGAUAUCGUGAGGAAGACCAGUUGCGAAGGCGGAUCUCUGGGCAGUUCCUGACACUGAGGCACGAAGGCCAGGGGGGCAAACG